GGGAGUGCUCGCAAGAGAACCGGAGCACAGGUGCUGCAUGGCUGUCGUCAGCUCGUGUCGUGAGAUGUUGGGUUAAGUCCCGCAACGAGCGCAACCCUUGUCAUUAGUUGCCACCAUUCAGUUGGGCACUCUAAUGAGACUGCCGGUGACAAACCGGAGGAAGUGGGGAUGACGUCAAGUCCUCAUGGCCCUUAUGGGUAGGGCUUCACACGUCAUACAAUGGUCGGUACAGAGGGUCGCCAACCCGCGAGGGGGAGCCAAUCCCACAAAGCCGAUCGUAGUCCGGAUUGGAGUCUGCAACUCGACUCCAUGAAGUCGGAAUCGCUAGUAAUCGUGGAUCAGCAUGUCACGGUGAAUACGUUCCCGGGUCUU
RNAcentral lists this ribosomal RNA (372 nucleotides) under uncultured Rhodocyclaceae bacterium. RNAcentral's name for it is "bacterial SSU rRNA". It matches the Rfam family "Bacterial small subunit ribosomal RNA", at positions 1010 to 1382 of the family's 1533-position model. Lineage: Bacteria; Pseudomonadati; Pseudomonadota; Betaproteobacteria; Rhodocyclales; Rhodocyclaceae. The record is from RNAcentral.